Molecule: ribosomal RNA, 273 nt
Filed under: uncultured bacterium
Lineage: Bacteria
Description: partial 16S ribosomal RNA
Rfam family: Bacterial small subunit ribosomal RNA
Source: RNAcentral
UACAGAGGUCCCGAGCGUUGUUCGGAUUCACUGGGCGUAAAGGGUGCGUAGGUGGCAUGGCAAGUUUGAUGUGAAAGCUCAGAGCUUAACCCUGAAAUGGCAUUGAAUACUACUGUGCUGGAGGUUUGGAGGGGGGACUGGAAUUCUCGGUGUAGCAGUGAAAUGCGUAGAUAUCGAGAGGAACACCAGUGGCGAAGGCGAGUCCCUGGACAACACCUGACACUGAGGCACGAAAGCUAGGGGAGCAAACAGGAUUAGAAACCCGCGUAGUCC